CGUUUGCUAGUAUAUCGGUUAGUACACCAGAUUCUGAUUAGCAUUUCAAUGUUCUGGUAAGCUGGGUUCGACUCCCAGGCGAACGU
Non-coding RNA from Filobasidium floriforme, 86 nucleotides. NCBI's taxonomy places the organism in Eukaryota, Fungi, Basidiomycota, Tremellomycetes, Filobasidiales, Filobasidiaceae. The record is from the annotation of a RefSeq genome assembly.